UUGAGUGAAAAGAAACUUAUUGCAACAAAUUCGCAUUAAAAUAUAUCACAUUUAAAAAUAUUGCUGAAUUGCAGAAAAAUGAGGAAAAUUUUACAUUUUCUCAAACAGGGUAAGGAACUCGGUUUCUCGAAUAACUUCUGGCACAGACAUCUGGGGGCAUGGCCGUCCGAGAAGAAAAUGUAGCCAUUGGUGCCAUCUAUCGACCACAGGUUAAAGAUUGGCGAUCCGUUGGAUACCGACCGAGUUAUCGGCAAAACUUGGAGCAAAAAUGAGAAAAAUUUUACAUUUUCUCAAACAGCGUAAGGAACUCGGUUCCUCGAAUAACUUCUGACACAGACAUCUGGGGGCAUGGCCGUCCAACAAGAAAACGUAGCCAUUGGUGCCAUCUAUCGACCACAAGUUAAAGAUUGGCGAUCCGUUGGAUACCGACCGAGUUAUAGGAAAAACUUGGUGCAAAAAUGAGGAAAAUUUUACAUUUUCUCAAACAGGGUAAGGAACUCGGUUCCUCGAAUAACUUCUGGCACAGACAUCUGGGGGCAUGGCCGUCCGAGAAGAAAAUGUAGCCAUUGGUGCCAUCUAUCGACCACAGGUUAAAGAUUGGCGAUCCGUUGGAUACCGACCGAGUUAUCGGCAAAACUUGGUGCAAAAAUGAGCCGAGAAGAUAGGCGAUUUUAUAGAUUUUUUUGAUAUUUUAUUACAAUUUUUCAAUCUUUUUCAAUUUAAAGCAUUAUUUGAGUGAAAAGAAACUUAUUUCAACCAAUUGGCAUUAAAAUAAAUCAAUUUAAUUUUUUUUGCAAAAUUUCUCAAAAAAAACGUAAGGGGUACCCCUUAUGAAAUUUUCGAGUGGAAAUUUUUUUUGAAAUUUUUUUCUGAUUUUUUAUUCUUUUUUUAAUUUAAAGCAUUAUUUGAGUGAAAAGAAACUUAUUGCAACAAAUUCGCAUUAAAAUAUAUCACAUUUAAAAUUUUGCUGAAUUGCAGAAAAAUGAGGAAAAUUUUACAUUUUCUCAAACAGCGUAAGGAACUCGGUUCCUCGAAUAACUUCUGGCACAGACAUCUGGGGGCAUGGUCGUCCAACAAGAAAA
Anopheles funestus (African malaria mosquito) is the source of this 1082-nucleotide long non-coding RNA. RefSeq lists it as uncharacterized. The record is from RefSeq and is a predicted model, not a curated record. Lineage: Eukaryota; Metazoa; Arthropoda; Insecta; Diptera; Culicidae. The transcript is spliced from 4 exons.